This 407-nucleotide ribosomal RNA is filed under the name uncultured bacterium. Its description in RNAcentral is "partial 16S ribosomal RNA". It matches the Rfam family "Bacterial small subunit ribosomal RNA", at positions 30 to 526 of the family's 1533-position model. The record is from RNAcentral.
AUUGAACGCUGGCGGCAGGCCUAACACAUGCAAGUCGAGCGGAGCGGCGGACGGGUGAGUAAUGCCUAGGAAUCUGCCUGGUAGUGGGGGAUAACGUCAGGAAACGGGCGCUAAUACCGCAUCCUAUCAGAUGAGCAUAGGUCGGAUUAGCUAGGUGGUGGGGUAAAGGCCUAACAAGGCGACGAUCCGGAACUGGUCUGAGAGGAUGAUCAGUCACACGGGAACUGAGACACGGUCCAGACUCCGACGGUGGGCAGCGGUGGGGAAUAUUGGACAAGGGGCGAAAGCCUGAUCCAGCCAUGCCGCGUGUGUGAAGAAGGUCUUCGGAUUGUAAAGCACUUUAAGUUGUGAGGCGUUACCAACAGAAUAAGCACCGGCUAACUACGUGCCAGCCGCCGCGGUAAUAC